This is a long non-coding RNA of Junco hyemalis (dark-eyed junco), 2369 nucleotides long. The record is from Ensembl. NCBI's taxonomy places the organism in Eukaryota, Metazoa, Chordata, Aves, Passeriformes, Passerellidae.
GGCUCCUCCUGGCCCCGCUGCUGCCGCUGCUCGUUCUGGGGGCCGGGGGCGCUGCGGGGCCCCCGGGGCGGCUCCCGGAGGACGCGGAGCAGGAGCACGGCUAUUACCUGCGGCAGCUCUUCGGUGCCUACGGCGAGAACGGCACGCUGCCCUCCGCGGGGCUGGCGCGGCUGCUGGGCAGCCUCGGGCUGGGCCGGGUGCAGGUGGUGCAGAUCCAGCACGAGGAGCUCGGCCACGGCCACGUCAGCCACCUGGACCUGCUGGAGGUGCAGCAGGACAAGCACCGGCACCGGCACCCGCUGUGGGAGCACGGCGGGGAAACGGCUCCGAGCACCGGCGGGACCCUCAGGUAACGGGGGGGACCCUUAUGGUACCGGGGGAACCCUUCAGGUAACGGGGGAACCCUUUACGUAACGGGGGAACCCCUCAGGAACGGGGGAACCCCUCAGGUAAUGGGGGGACCCCUCAGGUAACGGGGGAACCCUUCAGGUAACGGGGGGGACCCCUCAGGUACCGGGGGAACCCUUCAGGAACGGGGGGACCCCUUCAGAUAACGGGGGAACCCCUCAGGAACGGGGGGACCCCUCAGGUAACGGGGGGGACCCUUAUGGUACCGGGGGAACCCUUCAGGAACGGGGGGACCCCUCAGGUAACGGGGGAACCCUUCAGGUAACGGGGAACCCUUCAGAUAACGGGGGAACCCCUCAGGAACGGGGGGACCCUUCAGGUAAUGGGGGAGCCCUUCAGGUACCGGGGGAACCCCUCAGGUAACGGGGGGACCCCUCAGGAACCGGGGGGUUCCAUCCCCGAGGGGCUGCGCUGGGCAAGGGGGAGCUCAGAGCAGGAACGGGAACGGAGAUGGGAACGGGAACGGGAAUGCGGGACGGGAGCGGGGAACGGGGACCGGAAUGGGAGUGGGGAACGGGGACGGAGAAGGGAAUGGGAACGGGAACGGGAACGGGAACGGGAUGGAUUCGGAAACGGGGACGGAGAUGGGAACGGGAACGGGGACGGAGAUGGGAACGGGGACGGAGAUGGGAACGGGGACGAGAACGGGAACGGGGAGCGGGGAGCGGGAAUGGCAACAGGAGCGGGGACGGGGAUGGGAACGGAAACGGCGCCAGGUAACGGGAGCAGGGAUGGGAACGGGAACGGGAACGGGAACAGAGCUGACGAUCCGUUGACCCCAGCCCCCCCAUUUCUCGCAGCCCCCCGCCCUCCCAGACACCGAGCUGGCCCCAACCGGAGCCCACCGAGCCCCCCGGUGCUGCGGGGGUUCCCCGGGAGUACCGGCCCACCCUCAGCCUGCUGGGGAGGGUGCUGGGCUUGGAGCACUCCAGCGCCGACCACCCGCACGAUGAUUGCCUGAACGUGACGCAGCUGCUGGGGAAUUUCGGGCUGGACUCGGUGGCGCAGCUCACACCGGAGCAGUUCACGCUGCUCUGCCCGGCGCUGCUCUACCAGAUCGACAGCCGCGUCUGCAUCCGGCACCGCGAUGAGGUGGCGCCGCCACCCCCGGGGGGCGCCCUGUGGCCAGGUAACGCCAGCCCGGGGCUCCGAGCCGGCCCCGCGCCCACCUCCCCCGGCCCUGGGGUCCCCGAGUUUGUCCCCGGGUCCGGGGUCCCCAGGUUCCCUGUCCCCGAUGUGGGGGAGUCCAUUCCUGCAUCCUCAAGGGAUCCCCAUCCCUGUGUCCCUCUGGCCCCCAAUUCCUGAUCCUGGGGUCUCCAUCCUUGGGGUUCGCGUCCCUAAAUCCCUGGGGUUCCCAUCCCUGGGCUUCCCCAUUCCCACAUCCCUGGGGUCUCCAUUCCUGGGGUUCCCCAUUCCCACAUCCCCGGGACCCCAUUCCUGAUCCUGGGGUCCCCCCAUUCCUUGGGUUCUCCUCCCUAAAUCCCUGAGUUCCCCAUCCCUGGGAUCCUCAUUCCCGCAUCCCUGUGGUCCCCAUUUCCGGGAUCCUCAUUCCCAAAUCCCUGGGGUCUCUGUCCCUAAAUCCCUGAGGUCCCCAUCCCUGAGUCCCCACCUCCCUGGGACCCCUAUUGCCCCAUCCCUGAGUUCCCCAUCCCUGGGGUCCUCAUUCCCACAUCCCUGGGGUCCUCAUCCCUAAAUCCUUGGGGUUCCCAUCCCUGGGACCCCCAUUCCCCCAUCCCUGGAUCCCCAUCCCCACCUCCCUGGGGUCCCUGUCCCUAAAUCCCUGAGGUCCCCAUACCUGAGUCCCCACCUCCCUGGGGUCUCUGUCCCUAAAUCCCCGCGGUCUCCACCCCUGGAUCCCCAUCCCCACCUCCCCACGCCCCCUCCGGGUGCCCCGUCCGUGCCGUGCCCUGACGGUGCCCGCAGCUCUGGGCUGGGCGCUGCUGGCCGUGCUCUCGGUCAGC